Molecule: long non-coding RNA, 1916 nt
Filed under: Sus scrofa (pig)
Lineage: Eukaryota; Metazoa; Chordata; Mammalia; Artiodactyla; Suidae
Description: lncRNA (ENSSSCG00050048518.1)
Source: RNAcentral
UUUGGGUUUGCUCAGUUUUUUUUUUUGUUUGUUUGUUUUUUUUUUUUUUGGUCUUUUGUCCUUCUAGGGCUGCACCCGCAGCAUGUAGAGGUUCUCAGGAUACAUAUAGUGAUUUUGCGCUACACUGGGUCUCACUGACCCCAGGUGCUGGGAAUAGUGGAGUGUCUAUUAGUUUCAACUUGCAAUAUCUUAUUAUUGAUGGUUGCUAAGCCUCUCCCUGCCCCCACUGGGCCCCAAGCCUGUGUGUGGGAAGCCCAGUGGUAACUAGCCCAUCAGACACUACCUUUUUAAGUCUGCUUGCUAAUGGAAAGGGGCUGGGGCCCCACUCGCCAGUGGACCACACUGAAACAACCCCAGUGGGGAAUCUGAGCACUGUCUCUUCCAGAGGGCAGGACUGGGGUGGUGUGGAAGAUCAGAUCCUCCCUCAGCCCAAUUGAAAUCUCAGGACAUCGGAGAUGGAUGCGAUAUUUCCGUUGGCAUUUGGCUCAACUAGUGUGUGUGUUGCCAAAACAGUUUUCUGUUUUUAGCAACCCCUUUCCACAUACUUUGGCUAGAGAUAAUAGGUUUUUUCGGGGGGCAGGGGGAUUUUUUGUCUGUUCUAUUGGUGGUUAUGGAUCAGAGACUCUUGUGGUGCCCUCUCUAGGAUAUACUGGAAGGAAGCAAUAGGAAACACAGGAGACUCAAUACCAUGUCAUUCCCCACGUCCCACGAUCCCUUGUAAGUCUGCUUUCUCAUUUCCACCUUUCGGUGUCUUCCUCUGCUUCUUUGUUGUUAUGCUCGGGUGUCAGGAGACAUGUUUCUACAAUCUUUUCUUAGCCUCUCUGUUUCUAUUCUCUAUGCUGAAAACUCCAUCUUGUCCUGUUUUACCUUUACCCUAAAUUCCUGCUUGAAAAACAGUCACCAUGCUGGUAAAUAACAAGCGAAAGAACAAAGACCAAAAGGCAUAAGUUAUUCAUGUGGUCAGCUGAAUGAGGACAUUAUGCAUUGGUCUAGGCAUGCCAGACCUGUGCAGAUAGGCACAGCAUGAAUGUCCUGUUAAAAUAAGAGAAAGAGGAGCCUCAAGGCCUCACAGAUUUAUGAGGGGUCGUUAGAGGGAUAUGCAUCAGCAAGGAGAACGAGGUGCAAACCUAGGCAUGGGUUGCUGCAAAUAGGAAGCACAGUGGUGAUUCUCUAGAUGCUAUGCUGACUCCAGGCUUCCCCAAAGUUAAUGAUUGUUAAAUGCCUAAAAGUCAGAGUAAAAGCUUAACCAGCUACCAGAUAUGAGACUUUUAAAAUAAUAAAAAACUAUAUCCUGCACCUACAGCCCCCUCCUCACUUGAUGUCAUCCUAAAGAACACAAUAAAAGCAGUGUGGUUUCUUGAGGUGUUGCUCUUGGUCCCUGAGACCUUGAGUCCCCCGGUUCCCACCUUUGAUUAAGAUAAAUGUCUCUAAGUCUUGUUUUAUGUCAACUUUUUCUUAAGUUUCACAGCACCCGUUCUUCAGCCCUCACCUGCUGAACCGGUCUCAGCACUCGGGGUUUUAGCUUUACGUAGGAGAACCUGGGAGAAAAGUGCUAAUUCAUCUUCUUAGAAGCAGAAGUUUGGAGCUCUACUGGUGUUAGAAAAUUCUGCUGACUAUAAAUUAAAAUUUGAUGCUGUACACCUUGCCCUUUUAAGAAUUAUUUGCUAGAUAAUAUGGCUUCCCAAAGUCACUAUAAUUUGAUUUUCACACUUAUAAAAGGCAAGUGUUUUGCUGGAGUUGAAAUUUAAAGAUGGGAGAUGAGGCUAAAAUGAUCUCUGUGGUACUAAAGUUGGAGACACCAAUAUACACUCAUGUUUAGCUUAAUAAUGCUUAAUAUACACAUCAUUUGACAUAUAUAUUUAUAUAUAUGUAAUAUACACACAUUUAAAUCUUUGUUCUGUCAGGUGAUAAGACUU